UACGUAGGGUGCGAGCGUUAUUCGGAAUUACUGGGCGUAAAGCGUGCGCAGGCGGUUUUGUAAGUCAGAUGUGAAAUCCCCGGGCUUAACCUGGGAAUGGCAUUUGGGACUGCAAGGCUCGAGUGCGGUAGAGGAGACUGGAAUUCCUGGUGUAGCAGUGAAAUGCGUAGAUAUCAGGAGGAACACCGAUGGCGAAGGCAGGUCUCUGGGCUGACACUGACGCUCAGGCACGAAAGCGUGGGGAGCAAACAGG
RNAcentral lists this ribosomal RNA (253 nucleotides) under uncultured bacterium. RNAcentral describes it as "partial 16S ribosomal RNA". It matches the Rfam family "Bacterial small subunit ribosomal RNA", at positions 524 to 776 of the family's 1533-position model. The record is from RNAcentral.